AAAAACAGACCCGCAAAAGGCUGUGUGAGAAGAUAAGAGGGGAAGAAAUUUUAGCUAGGGGGGCAUGCAUGAAGAAAGCUUUCGCUAGCAGAAAUGGAGCCAUGCCGGCAUGUCGGCGAUGUCGCUGUCAGCAUCGAUCAAUCGAUGUUGCUCGCGGCCAAACAAGGGGUAGCGGUAGCAGCGUCCAAGCGCACGAAUCGCCAGCUCCAACAAGUACAAGGAACAAUGAUGAUGCGAGUGAGACCCUAGCGGAUCGAGAAACGGGAAAGGUGUUUGGAGGAGAGCUCACCAGCGGACGUGGAGGUGCUGUUGCCGCUAUCCGAGGUGACGGCGACAGAGAGGAACAGCGUGGAAGGGCGCGGUGGAGGUGAAGCGAGGCGGUGGUGGCCCGUGGAAUCUCUGCCACGAGGAGCUGUCGGAGACGAGAGGUCGUCGAAGAGAUGGCGCGUCGGUGGCCUGGGGGCGGACAGCAACAGCACAGACAGAGCCUCGCCUGGUUUCGACUUUCGACUUUAGAGACGACUGACGAGGAGGCGGCGAUUUUCGUGCGGGCUUCCUAUCCCGAGAAAAAACUGGGAUCCGACGAGGAUAUGGGCUGUCAGGGGGUUUGCUACCCAAGACAAAAUCUGGCCUCUAUUCCCAAACUAGGCCAUACGCCCAUACAUGGCCUAUGGCCUUGGUGGGCUAGGCCCAGACCAUUAGUUACAUUGCGAAAGGAUUCAGGUGUUUUUUGUUGGGCUAGCAAACAGGCUAAAGGUAAUAAUUAGGUUUUUUUUCUGAUGUGCAUUUGCUGUGUUUGUGUGCACAGCAAAGUUUAAAAUAGUGGGCUAUAGCGAAGUUAUAGCCUAGCUAUAACAUUUUGGAGGAUCUAAACCUACGAUAUUUCACUUUUAGACGCUAUUUUACCUGCCACCACUAUAGCCCGAUUUAGCUCUGCUAGCUUUAGCACUAAAUAGCCACGCUAUUUCUACUUUUCAUGGUGUACAAAAAAAUAAUGAAUGUGAUGAAGAAGGAUGAGAAA
This is a long non-coding RNA of Zea mays, 1021 nucleotides long. RefSeq lists it as uncharacterized. NCBI's taxonomy places the organism in Eukaryota, Viridiplantae, Streptophyta, Magnoliopsida, Poales, Poaceae. The transcript has a single exon. The record is from RefSeq and is marked validated.